Molecule: ribosomal RNA, 165 nt
Filed under: uncultured bacterium
Lineage: Bacteria
Description: partial 16S rRNA
Rfam family: Bacterial small subunit ribosomal RNA
Source: RNAcentral
UAGGGAAUCUUCGGCAAUGAACGAAAGUCUGACCGAGCAACGCCGCGUGAGUGAAGAAGGUUUUCGAAUCGUAAAACUCUGUUGGUAGAGAAGAACGUUGGUGAGAGUGGAAAGCUCAUCAAGUGACGGUAACUACCCAGAAAGGGACGGCUAACUACGUGCCAA